GAUGAAGAACGUAGCGAAAUGCGAUAAGUAAUGUGAAUUGCAGAAUUCAGUGAAUCAUCGAAUCUUUGAACGCACAUUGCGCCCGCCAGUAUUCCGGCGGGCAUGCCUGUUCGAGCGUCAUUUCAACCAUCAAGCCCCCGGCUUGUGUUGGGGACCUGCGGCUGCCGCAGGCCCUGAAAACCAGUGGCGGGCUCGCUAGUCACUCCGAGCGUAGUAAUACAUCUCGCUCAGGGCGUGCUGCGGGUUCCGGCCGUUAAAAAGCCUUAUUUACCCAAGGUUGACCUCGGAUCAGGUAGGAAGACCCGCUGAACUUAAGCAUAUCAAUAAGCGGAGGA
RNAcentral lists this unclassified non-coding RNA (335 nucleotides) under soil metagenome. RNAcentral describes it as "partial contains 5.8S ribosomal RNA, internal transcribed spacer 2, and large subunit ribosomal RNA". The stretch from base 1 to 120 matches the Rfam family "5.8S ribosomal RNA", at positions 35 to 154 of the family's 154-position model. The record is from RNAcentral.